AGAUUCAUCUUCAAUCCAAACACACAUCUUCUUCCUAAUCCUUCAAGACAAGAGUUGCAAUGCAUUUGCGCCAACAAAACAAACCAUCUUUCUGUCUCUGUCCACUAUACAAACACAUGCUCUGUUCGACACAAAACUCAUACAAAAAUCCUACAAAAUUCACUGCUCGUUUUCUUCAAGAAACAAUGGAAUUACAAGUCCCACAGGGAACUAAGUGGAUCUGGCAGGUGUUUGCAUGUUUCAAGCUGCGUCAUGAAUAAAAGAUGUCAUCCAAAGCCAUUAGGGUUUAGGAGGUGUAUCUUACUCCUGGACGAGAUACAUGGUUCUAAACUCGGUUUUAUUUAAGGUCUUUUGUCGAGUCUUAGUGAACUCUUUCAAACAUGUUGUGGUUUGUAAUUUAGAAUUUGGUGUCGACGUUUCAGACAAUUAUGUUGUGUUAUUUUCAAACUUAAAUUAUGGAUGAACAUCUUAUGGUUUUA
Long non-coding RNA from Helianthus annuus (common sunflower), 479 nucleotides. RefSeq lists it as uncharacterized. Lineage: Eukaryota; Viridiplantae; Streptophyta; Magnoliopsida; Asterales; Asteraceae. The transcript has 2 exons. The record is from RefSeq and is a predicted model, not a curated record.